GAUGAACGCUGGCGGCGUGCCUAAUACAUGCAAGUCGAGCGAACGGACGAGAAGCUUGCUUCUCUGAUGUUAGCGGCGGACGGGUGAGUAACACGUGGAUAACCUACCUAUAAGACUGGGAUAACUUCGGGAAACCGGAGCUAAUACCGGAUGAUAUUUUGAACCGCAUGGUUCAAAAGUGAAAGACGGUCUUGCUGUCACUUAUAGAUGGAUCCGCGCUGCAUUAGCUAGUUGGUAAGGUAACGGCUUACCAAGGCAACGAUGCAUAGCCGACCUGAGAGGGUGAUCGGCCACACUGGAACUGAGACACGGUCCAGACUCCUACGGGAGGCAGCAGUAGGGAAUCUUCCGCAAUGGGCGAAAGCCUGACGGAGCAACGCCGCGUGAGUGAUGAAGGUCUUCGGAUCGUAAAACUCUGUUAUUAGGGAAGAACAUAUGUGUAGGUAACUGUGCACAUCUUGACGGUACCUAAUCAGAAAGCCACGGCUAACUACGUG
RNAcentral lists this ribosomal RNA (497 nucleotides) under uncultured bacterium. RNAcentral describes it as "partial 16S ribosomal RNA". It matches the Rfam family "Bacterial small subunit ribosomal RNA", at positions 28 to 507 of the family's 1533-position model. The record is from RNAcentral.